RNAcentral lists this ribosomal RNA (303 nucleotides) under uncultured bacterium. RNAcentral's name for it is "partial 16S ribosomal RNA". It matches the Rfam family "Bacterial small subunit ribosomal RNA", at positions 507 to 808 of the family's 1533-position model. The record is from RNAcentral.
AGCAGUCGCCGCGGUAAAACGUAGGUCCCGAGCGUUGUCCGGAUUUAUUGGGCGUAAAGCGAGCGCAGGCGGUUAGAUAAGUCUGAAGUUAAAGGCUGUGGCUUAACCAUAGUACGCUUUGGAAACUGUUUAACUUGAGUGCAAGAGGGGAGAGUGGAAUUCCAUGUGUAGCGGUGAAAUGCGUAGAUAUAUGGAGGAACACCGGUGGCGAAAGCGGCUCUCUGGCUUGUAACUGACGCUGAGGCUCGAAAGCGUGGGGAGCAAACAGGAUUAGAUACCCCAGUAGUCCCUGUCUCUUAUACA